Dermochelys coriacea (leatherback sea turtle) is the source of this 6326-nucleotide RNA transcript. It is a transcript of the gene named HECT domain E3 ubiquitin protein ligase 2, with no coding region annotated. The transcript is spliced from 24 exons. NCBI's taxonomy places the organism in Eukaryota, Metazoa, Chordata, Testudines, Dermochelyidae. The record is from RefSeq and is a predicted model, not a curated record.
GGGACAGCUUCUUCUCUCUGCCCCGCCUCCAUGUGGACUGCAAGUCAGGGUCCCUUGGCUGAAGUGUCCCCCAAUAUCCAUAGUCACACUCUGUAAAAGGUCUUCUCUUAUAAACAUGACUACUGCAUAUAUACUUUUCCCACCCUCAGGGAUUGGAAAGAGGAGCCAAAAGCCAAUUUUCUACUUUUAGCAAUUUUAUUUCCACUAUCAACCAAAAGAGAGAAGCAGCCGGAAGCAGCAGCUCACCUACACAACUUGUUAUACCCAACAUCAAAAAUGAUUACUACAAAUAGAAGUACUUCAGAUUGAUUUCCCAUCUUCAAAAAAGAAAUAGUUCAGUGGUAUUGAACUUUGUUUAUUAUGCCAAAGGAGAUGUAAUGAGGCACUGAUUAAGACAUCAGCAUCCAUCCAGAAAUAACUGGAAUCAAUCUUCAAAUGGCAUCAAUGGGGAGACAAAAGAUUACCAACUAGUAACUGAACCUUUGGAGAAUAUCACCUUGGAGGACCUGAUUGAACACAACACUUGGCAUUGUGAACCAUAUUUUUGCAGGGAAAAAGUUGUGAUAUGUUGUAGAAUCACACACCCAAACACUCGUUACCCUUCAAAAAUGCUAACUAGAUGUCAUCUUUGAAAAGCAUACUGAUGUAUUUUAAGUUGUUUCUCAAAGGAUACAGGACUUGCAAGACGAGUUCCAUACAUCCAGUGUACAUUCCGUAUUCAGUGACCAUUAUUGUACAUGAUGGAGAGCUGCAAUAUCACAGAAUGGAUCAUGAAAUUUAAUGAAGUUGAAUUGGUGACAAAGCCAACUUUUGGACUAGUGUAGUAAUACAUGAAGAUGCUUGAGUCUUUGCUGCUCUUUAUUCGAUCUGCUAAUUAGAAUUUGUAUCUCACACUGGAAGACCUAGCAAAAUACAUUUUUGCUUUAGAUUUAACCAACUAUUCUGGGAUGAUUAAUCUGCUACCUCGCUGAAAUAAGAGGUGUGAAAAGUCUGACCCUGACAUAUUGGAGGAAUUUCAAAAAGGAAAUUGGGUUGUUAAAAGGUCACCUGUUCCCUUCUGUUAUCUUAUUAUCAAACUAUCUUACUGGACGGUAUUAGAUUCAGUUUCCAAAGCCUCUUUCCUCGCUCUGAAGGUUCUUGGAAUGCAUGAGACAAUCACUGAUGAUGUCAUAAAUUAACUGGAGGCAUUAAUAUACCAAGUUUACCAUUUGAAGACUAACAUUACGACAUUUGCAGAACUAUGUUGAUGGAUGCUUUCUAAGAAGCAGAUAAACUGAGAAAAAUUGCCAUUGAUGUGGGUACUAUUUAUACUUUGGUGUCAUAAGGGCAAAUUAUCAAGCAAUGGAAUGGCUCUGAGAUGAUCGACCAUAUCCAAAACUACCCUCCCCUAUUGGGCAUGGUUGGGUCUUGGAGAAUGAACUGAUCAUACCGGUUAUGUGUGAAUUACUAUGUGGUUCCAGAUCAGUACUUCAGCUAAUCAAAUGCUUGUGUGCAAAGACCAGAUGCUCACCAUCCUGCAAAUGUUUGGCCAGCAGCCUGCUUUGCACAGAAAUAUGCAAGUGCAGCUCAGACAAGGAUCAGUGUGAGAAUAUGUCUAGCAAUGGUGCCCCCUAGAUGGAGAUGACACUGAUGGUGACUUUGAUAAAUAAAUGUUUUCAGUCCUACAUGUCAAUGCUAACUUCACUAGAAUUACAAAAGAUCAAUGUCUUUUUUUAUGUAAGCAAUGCAUCCCUCUGUUAAGUGAGAGAUCUACCACCAAUUUGCCUUGAUGUUAGGCAAAAGCAGCGCAUCUCUAUAGAUACACUACCACCGGAACUGAAAGCUCCAGUCCCUCCAGAAUCUUCCCUUCCCAUCCGAACCAAAACUAUGAAGGACUUCCAGGAGGAUAUGGAAAAAACUAAGUCAUCAGGAGAUUGGAAAGCUGUACAUGAUUUUUAUUUAACAACAUUUGAUUCUUUCCUGGAGUUAAAUGCUGCAUUUAAGAAAGAUAUCAGUCUCCCUUUCAGUACCAUUGAUGAUUCUGGAAUCAAUGCUAAAUUUGUGAAUGCUGUCUAUGAUGCCUUACUAAAUACUCCUCAAGAUAUUCAGAAGUCUGUCCUAAAAGGAAUAAUUAAUGGUCUGUUACAGGAGUGGAAAGGGCCACGAACAAAAGAUGAUCUUAGAGCAUACUGUAUACUUCUACAGAAUCCUCAGUUUAGUAACACAUCUACUUAUGUCAUCUAUGCUCACUUGCUAAGACAGAUAGCAACCUUGGCAGAAGCUGACCAUCAUUUCCUAGCUCACUGGUUUAAAAAGAUUUCGCAGAGGAGGUUUAAGCAGUUAGUAGACAGGUUGCUGCAAUUUAUUUCUUUACGUCUGUUCCCUGCAAAACCUGAAGAAUUCCCACCCAUGAUAAAAUGUACCUGGUGGAUUCCAUCAGCAACCAAAGUCUUGGCUUUAUUCAAUGCUGCAAAUAGCCUAGCUAAUCCUGCUAUUAUUCCAUAUAUGGAUUUUUAUAAUUCGACUUUGGAUCAUAUUGAUCUCAUGGAAGAGUAUCAUAACUGGCAGUGUUAUGGAAACUCUCACAGGUUUUCUUUCUGUCAGUAUCCAUUCAUUAUUUCUAUAGCAGCAAAAAAAGUUAUUAUUCAAAGGGACUCAGAACAACAGAUGAUAAGCAUGGCACGGCAAAGCCUGGUGGACAAAGUCUCUCGCAGGCAGAGACCUGACAUGAAUAUGUUAUUCCUAAACUUGAAAGUGAGAAGGAUGCACCUUGUUAGUGAUUCACUUGAUGAGCUGACACGGAAGAGGGCAGAUCUGAAAAAAAAGUUGAAAGUUACAUUUGUAGGGGAGGCUGGUCUUGAUAUGGGUGGCUUGACAAAAGAAUGGUUUCUUCUCCUUAUUCGCCAAAUUUUUCACCCAGACUAUGGUAUGUUUACGUAUCACAAGGAUUCACACUGUCACUGGUUUAGCAGCUAUAAAUGUGAUAACUACUCUGAAUUCCGAUUGGUUGGAGCUCUUAUGGGACUUGCCGUGUAUAACAGUAUCACCUUGGAUAUUCGCUUCCCACCUUGCUGUUACAAGAAACUUUUGAGUCCUCCCAUUGUUCCCUGUGAUCAGAACACACCUGUAGGCCUCAGUGAUGUUUCAUUAGAUGACCUGUGUCAUAUUAUACCAGAGUUGGCCCAUGGACUAAGUGAGCUUCUAUCCUAUGAAGACAAUGUUGAAGAAGACUUUUAUUCAACCUUCCAGGUUUUUCAAGAAGAAUUUGGAGUCAUAAAAUCUUAUAACCUAAAGCCUGGUGGUGAUAAAAUUCCAGUUACGGCUCAGAAUAGGAAAGAAUAUGUGCAACUUUAUGUUGACUUCAUUCUCAACAAAUCAGUCUACAAACAGUUUGCAGCUUUUUAUUAUGGAUUCCAUAGUGUCUGUGAUUCAUAUGCAUUGAUGCUACUUCGUCCAGAAGAGGUUGAAAUUCUUGUUUGUGGAAGCCCUGAACUGGAUAUGUAUGCUCUACAGAGAAACACCCAGUAUGAUGGCUACCUGAAAACUGAUCUCACUAUACGAUACUUUUGGGAGGUAGUACUUGGAUUUCCUCUUGAUCUCCAAAAGAAGCUGCUGCAUUUUACUACAGGAAGUGACAGAGUACCUGUGGGAGGGAUGGCUGAUUUGAAUUUCAAGAUUUCAAAGAGUGAAACGUCCACUAACUGGUUACCUGUGGCCCACACCUGCUUCAACCAGCUUUGCCUCCCUCCUUACAAGAGCAAAAAAGAACUGAAGCAGAAGCUGAUCAUUGGAAUUUCAAAUGCAGAAGGUUUUGGUCUAGAAUAAGAUGAAAGAUUUAAAAUACAGGAUUUUUUAUGUAGCACUCACUUUCCUCUUAUUGUGCCUUUAAGCUUUUCAUGUUUCUGUCUCUUGAUACUGUGCCAGUCUUAUCCAAUUUAAAACAUGAUUUUUUUAGUUAAAUGCAAAGUGCAUUUGUUUUUGCUGUAUGGCAAUACAUUUACUGCUUUUUUUUUCCACAAAGUAAUUUUCAUAAAAUACAGAAUGCUGCAUUACUUGACAGAAGAAAGCUGCCAGAGGUGACAAAUUCCAGGUUACAGUUUUGUGUCUGAUUAUUCUUGGAGCACUUUAUAAUUAAUCAUAAUUUAUAUCCGGAUACAUAUCCCACUGGGAAAGGAAACAUAAAAGGUUUAUUGAUUAGGUAAGUCGAGUGGCAGAGUGUCUUCAAUUAAUACACGCAGUAGCAAAGUGUAUAACUGCCAUUCAUGUGAGACACGGGGCCAUAUUUUCAUAUUGAGACAUAAAGCAAUUUUAGCCUAGAUAAAAUGUAUACAGUUUUAAUGUUUUGGCUUUCGUUAUCAAAUAAUUAAGCAGGAUAUUUAAAAAGCAUGUAAAUAACUGCCUGUGGAAAAAUAGAAUUUUGAUAGUGCCAUUAAUUGCUAAAGAUUUAUUUUUACAAAUACACAGUUUUAGACGAUAUAUAUUCAGCUUUUACAGAUCAACAGAAUUGAUUUGUAUAGGAAUGUUAAGAGUACUAUUUUCAGUAUAACUGGACUCAAGGACAGACUUUAAGUAUUAAACAACCUGCAUGUAAAUCUUAUGAAAUUGGCAGCAAACUAAUCAGUUUGGCUGUAGAUAUUGUAGUUUUGUAACCAUGGCUUACUUAAAGAAAUUGGAUAUUGACAGGUAAAUUCUAAAUCUUUGAAUUGCUUCAGAAAUAAGUGAUAUCCACAUCACAUGGAAAAAUAUUAAAAUUUUAAUUUGUGUACAAUAUUGUCAUUUGAUCAACAACUUUAUGCUAGAAAUCUUUUACUAAAAGUUUAUUAGAGUAAGCUAUGACAAAAGUGAAUACAAGAACAUAUCAAAAUGCUCUAUCUUUCAUUCACUUGAAGGUCGGUAUUUAGACAAUGUUUUGUUUUUUUCACUGCACACUAAUAAAGUAAAUGUAAAGAUAUUCUUGUCUGAAAGUUUUAGCAAAUUUGGAGCUGAGGAGGAAACUGAUUGUAAAAUGCAGGCAUAAUUACAAGUCCAUUUUUAUUCACAACCUGAGACAGUAGCAGCAUACAGUAUAGUAUAUUGUAUUUUUUUACAUCAAGUAAUACCUACUGUAUGUUCUAUAGAUUUUGCAAUGGAACUUAUUUGCAAUAACAAAAUAUAUAGUAAUUUUUCUGAUACUUUUCUUAUUCUGGCUAUUUCUUCCUUUCUAUACUACUUACACACAACCAGCAGAUUUCUACAUUGGUUAAUAAACUAAUCUGGCUACUCUGUAACCUUAAUGACAUUAAUCCUUUAGUAAAUAAUUACACAUUUAAUUCUGUUCUGAUCCUUAAAGAAGGUAGUGAUGGUUUACCAUUUUUAUUUUAUUAGGAAUAGAGAUUAGUGGUAGGAUUUUUGAAAGCAUUCAGCAUUGGCCUAACUCAGCUCCUCUUUAAGUGAGUGGUAAAACUACCAUUGACUUCAGUGGAAGCAUAUUUAGGCCAGUAAUUGUUGCUUUUAAAAAUACCGAUCUAGAAUUAUAUUUUUAAUCUGAAAAUGUAAAGUGAAUCGGUUACACAAAUCACAUUGCUUCACCACUGUACUGCCUGAACUAAAAAGACAUUUAAAAUGGGUAAAAUACUAAUAAGCACAAAAAUGUGGAUGUAUUUUAGAAGUCAGAAUAAUGUAUAUUUUUAUUAAGUAAACUGGAAGCAAAAUUUUUGUUUCUAUAGGGGUUGAUUCAUGGAAGGUUGUCUUAUGCAUUUUUGUUUUAUGAAUUAGCUAUACAGUUUUUCAUGUAAAAAUGCACAUGUCAAUAUUUUUAUGACUCAAGCCCACAUUUAAUAACUAAAGCAUUGUUUCUGCCUAUCAUUAAGAUAAAUGAUACAUUUUAAUCUUUUACAUUUUAAUCUUUUAUCACAAAUUUGCACUUUGCCUUGGUUUAGUUUUAAUUAUUAAAAGCUUUUUGGGUUUACUGUGUAAUAUUACCUCAAAAUUUUAAAAGCUAUUAUAUUUGCAUCCAUUUUUAAAUAAAUUAGAGAAUGUCAUUGAAUUACAUUUUAUAUUUCCUGACAUUAAGUUAAAUAAUUGUAAUUUUUGUAUUUGUUAAAUGAAAGCAUUGCACAGUAUUUAUGAAAUAAGCCUCUGAUCUCCUCAUUUAACAUUGUUUGCUCAACUACAUUUUGUUUUUUGUCUUGCAAUGUAAUCCAACAAAACCUUCCUCCUCCUUCUCCCCCACCCCCCUUUUUCUCUGUACAAUUGUUUUGUACAUUACCUAAGGAAAUCUGGUUUGUAUACAUUUGUUCAUUACUGGGUAUCUAUUUUUAUGUAUUGAAAUUGUGCAGUCAUUAAAUCAAACACGUUUCAAUUUCCAA